Molecule: ribosomal RNA, 497 nt
Filed under: uncultured bacterium
Lineage: Bacteria
Description: partial 16S ribosomal RNA
Rfam family: Bacterial small subunit ribosomal RNA
Source: RNAcentral
GAUGAACGCUGGCGGCGUGCCUAAUACAUGCAAGUCGAGCGAACAGACGAGGAGCUUGCUCCUCUGACGUUAGCGGCGGACGGGUGAGUAACACGUGGAUAACCUACCUAUAAGACUGGGAUAACUUCGGGAAACCGGAGCUAAUACCGGAUAAUAUAUUGAACCGCAUGGUUCAAUAGUGAAAGACGGUUUUGCUGUCACUUAUAGAUGGAUCCGCGCCGCAUUAGCUAGUUGGUAAGGUAACGGCUUACCAAGGCAACGAUGCGUAGCCGACCUGAGAGGGUGAUCGGCCACACGGGAACUGAGACACGGUCCAGACUCCUACGGGAGGCAGCAGUAGGGAAUCUUCCGGAAUGGGCGAAAGCGUGACGGAGCAACGCCGCGUGAGUGAUGAAGGUCUUCGGAUCGUAAAACUCUGUUAUUAGGGAAGAACAAAUGUGUAAGUAACUAUGCACGUCUUGACGGUACCUAAUCAGAAAGCCACGGCUAACUCCGUG